AUUGAACGCUGGCGGCAGGCCUAACACAUGCAAGUCGAGCGGAGCGGCGGACGGGUGAGUAAUGCCUAUGAAUCUGCCUGUUCGUGGGGGAUAACGUCCGGUAACGGGCGCUAAUACCGCAUACUCUCAGCAUCGCCUAGGUCGGAUUAGCGAGUUGGUGGGGUAAAGGCCUACCCAGGCGACGAUCCGUAACUGGUCUGAGAGGAUGAUCAGUCACACUGGAACUGAGACACGGUCCAGACUCCGACGGGAGGCAGCAGUGGGGAAUAUUGGACAAUGGGCGAAAGCCUGAUCCAGCCAUGCCGCGUGUGUGAAGAAGGUCUUCGGAUUGUAAAGCACUUUAAGUUGGGAGGCGUUACCAACAGAAUAAGCACCGGCUAACUCCGUGCCAGCCGCCGCGGUAAUAC
Molecule: ribosomal RNA, 407 nt
Filed under: uncultured bacterium
Lineage: Bacteria
Description: partial 16S ribosomal RNA
Rfam family: Bacterial small subunit ribosomal RNA
Source: RNAcentral